UACGUAGGGUGCGAGCGUUAAUCGGAAUUACUGGGCGUAAAGCGUGCGCAGGCGGUUCGCCAAGUCAGGUGUGAAAUCCCCGGGCUUAACCUGGGAAUUGCGCUUGAAACUAGCGGGCUUGAGUGUGGCGGAGGGGGGUGGAAUUCCACGUGUAGCAGUGAAAUGCGUAGAGAUGUGGAGGAACACCGAUGGCGAAGGCAGCCCCCUGGGAUGACACUGACGCUCAUACACGAAAGCGUGGGGAGCAAACAGG
This 253-nucleotide ribosomal RNA is filed under the name uncultured bacterium. RNAcentral describes it as "partial 16S ribosomal RNA". It matches the Rfam family "Bacterial small subunit ribosomal RNA", at positions 524 to 776 of the family's 1533-position model. The record is from RNAcentral.